CCAAUAGCGUAUAUUAAAGUUGUUGCAGUUAAAAAGCUCGUAGUUGAAUUUCGGGAUCAAUUGAUUGGUCAUGCCUUGGUAUGUACUGGUCAUAUUGGUUCUCACCUUCUAAUGAACCAUAAUGUCAUUUAUUUGAUGUUAUGGGGAAUUAGGACUGUUACCUUGAAAAAAUUAGAGUGUUUAAAGCAGGCUUACGCUUGAAUACAUUAGCAUGGAAUAAUGAAAUAGGACAUCGCAUUCUAUUUUGUUGGUUUCUAGGAUCGAUGUAAUGAUUAACAGGGAUAGUUGGGGGCAUUAGUAUUCAAUUGUCAGAGGUGAAAUUCUUGGAUUUAUUGAAGACUAACUACUGCGAAAGCAUUUGCCAAGGAUGUUUUCAUUAAUCAAGAACGAAAGUUAGGGGAUCGAAGACGAUCAGAUACCGUCGUAGUCUUAACCAUAAACUAUGCCGACUAGGGAUCGGAUGAUGUUAAUUUUUAAAUGACUCAUUCGGCACCUUACG
RNAcentral lists this ribosomal RNA (499 nucleotides) under uncultured Glomeromycotina. RNAcentral's name for it is "partial small subunit ribosomal RNA". It matches the Rfam family "Eukaryotic small subunit ribosomal RNA", at positions 591 to 1092 of the family's 1831-position model. The record is from RNAcentral. Lineage: Eukaryota; Fungi; Glomeromycota.